AAUUAUACGGCGAAACUGCGAAUGGCUCAUUAUAUAAGUUAUCGUUUAUUUGAUAGCACCUUACUACUUGGAUAACCGUGGUAAUUCUAGAGCUAAUACAUGCUGAAAACCCCGACUUCGGAAGGGGUGUAUUUAUUAGAUUAAAAACCAAUGCCCUCUGGGCUCUCUGGUGAUUCAUGAUAACUUCUCGAAUCGCACGGCCUUGCGCCGGCGAUGGUUCAUUCAAAUUUCUUCCCUAUCAACUUUCGAUGUUUGGGUAGUGGCCAAACAUGGUUGCAACGGGUAACGGAGGGUUAGGGCUCGACCCCGGAGAAGGAGCCUGAGAAACGGCUACUACAUCCAAGGAAGGCAGCAGGCGCGCAAAUUACCCAAUCCCGACUCGGGGAGGUAGUGACAAUAAAUACUGAUACAGGGCUCUUUUGGGUCUUGUAAUUGGAAUGAGUACAAUUUAAAUCCCUUAACGAGGAACAAUUGGAGGGCAAGUCUGGUGCCAGCAGCCGCGGUAAUUCCAGCUCCAAUAGCGUAUAUUAAAGUUGUUGUGGUUAAAAAGCUCGUAGUUGAACCUUGGGCCUGGCUGGCCGGUCCGCCUCACCGCGUGCACUGGUCCGGCCGGGCCUUUCCCUCCGUGGAACCCCAUGCCCUUCACUGGGCGUGGCGGGGAAACGGGACUUUUACUUUGAAAAAAUUAGAGUGCUCCAGGCAGGCCUAUGCUCGAAUACAUUAGCAUGGAAUAAUGAAAUAGGACGUGCGGUUCUAUUUUGUUGGUUUCUAGGACCGCCGUAAUGAUUAAUAGGGACAGUCGGGGGCAUCAGUAUUCAAUUGUCAGAGGUGAAAUUCUUGGAUCAAUUGAAGACUAACUACUGCGAAAGCAUUUGCCAAGGAUGUUUUCAUUAAUCAGGAACGAAAGUUAGGGGAUCGAAGACGAUCAGAUACCGUCGUAGUCUUAACCAUAAACUAUGCCGACUAGGGAUCGGACGAUGUUAUUAUUUGACUCGUUCGGCACCUUACGAGAAAUCAAAGUGCUUGGGCUCCA
This 1033-nucleotide ribosomal RNA is filed under the name Ophiocordyceps radiata. RNAcentral's name for it is "SSU rRNA". It matches the Rfam family "Eukaryotic small subunit ribosomal RNA", at positions 72 to 1116 of the family's 1831-position model. Lineage: Eukaryota; Fungi; Ascomycota; Sordariomycetes; Hypocreales; Ophiocordycipitaceae. The record is from RNAcentral.